UCCGGUUUAACACCGGCAGUCUCUUUAGAGUGCUCAACUUAAUGGUAGCAACUAAAGACAAGGGUUGCGCUCGUUGCGGGACUUAACCCAACAUCCUACGACACGAGCUGACGACAGCCAUGCAGCACUUGUCACCCAGUCCCCGAAGGGAAAACCACAUCUCUGUGGCGAUCUAGGGAUGUCAAGCCCAGGUAAGGUUCUGCGCGUUGCUUCGAAUUGAACCACAUACUCCACCGCUUGUGCGGGCCCCCGUCAAUUCCUUUGAGUUUUAGCCUUGCGGCCGUACUUCCCAGGCGGGAUACUUAAUGCGUUAGCUUUGAUACUCAAGGGGUUAACUCCUCGAACAUCUAGUAUCCAUAGUUUAUGGCGUGGACUAC
Molecule: unclassified non-coding RNA, 377 nt
Filed under: uncultured delta proteobacterium
Lineage: Bacteria; Deltaproteobacteria
Description: contains 16S-23S intergenic spacer region
Source: RNAcentral